RNAcentral lists this ribosomal RNA (381 nucleotides) under bacterium AB2004B. RNAcentral's name for it is "bacterial SSU rRNA". It matches the Rfam family "Bacterial small subunit ribosomal RNA", at positions 28 to 400 of the family's 1533-position model. The record is from RNAcentral.
GAUGAACGCUAGNUACAGGCUUAACACAUGCAAGUCGAGGGGCAGCAUUAUCGAAGCUUGCUUUGAUAGAUGGCGACCGGCGCACGGGUGAGUAACGCGUAUCCAACCUUCCCCUUAGUAGGGCAUAGCCCGUAGAAAUGCGGAUUAAUACCCUAUGUUGUAUUAUGAGGACAUCUGAAUAAUACCAAAGGUUCACCGCUAAGGGAUGGGGAUGCGUCUGAUUAGGUUGUUGGCGGGGUAACGGCCCACCAAGCCAUCGAUCAGUAGGGGUUCUGAGAGGAAGGUCCCCCACAUUGGAACUGAGACACGGUCCAAACUCCUACGGGAGGCAGCAGUGAGGAAUAUUGGUCAAUGGGGGAGAGCAUGAACCAGCCAAGUAGC